Molecule: long non-coding RNA, 1067 nt
Organism: Leptidea sinapis
Lineage: Eukaryota; Metazoa; Arthropoda; Insecta; Lepidoptera; Pieridae
Exons: 2
Source: RefSeq, a predicted model, not a curated record
UCAAGUGAGAUUGCACGCCUUUUCUGGUUGUUUUCGUGGCUUGCUAUCAGUAAUAUAUAGUGUACUUGUAAGUCACAGUUGUAACUGCUCUUAAAAAUGUUAAUUAAAUAAAACCUCACCUAGAAGUGUUCAAAAAGUCCUCAUAGCUUGAAAUUUUAAUAUAAUAUUAUGAAAAAUAUUUAUUUCAAUAAGACAUUGUUUUGAGGGAUCAAAUAUCAAAGCAUAUGGGUAUUUAAUAUACUUAUUGUUGGCAUGUGGCUGAUGUGAGAUUAAUUCAUUUGUGCGAAAAUGGGUCGGAACUCAGUGGGUGUGGAAGCAAAUGGAGAGCUAAGAAUACUGCUUGUUGUUACUGUUAUCAUAGGAUUACUACUAAUGCUUUCAUUGCUAAUGUGUUACGCGUGCGUCUUAAAACGUUUGUGUUGCGGUACGCCGAGAGAACGAAGUAAAAAUAUUGCUUGCGGUCGACAGACUGAAAGCUAUCCAAUGGGUGACGUAACGUUGCUUUCACAACCCACAGAAAGCGAACGCGUCUGAAGCAUUCCUUGCUCAUUAUAUCAAAAUGGCGUCUUAAUUUUGCCAUUGUCUAUGGCUAGGCAAAAACCUGUCAAAUAUGAGUUAGACUCGCACUUUCUUCUGAACGUAGUGUUUAAAUUCUUUUUGUUUCUACUGCAAGAUACUUGUACUUUUAAAAGAAUUUUGUAACAGAAACACUUAAUUAAUAUGGCGGUCAUUCUAAAAUUCACUCUAUCAAAAUAUUGUAACAUUGCGGUUUAUGAAAUACAACCGACUGACAGACAGACAGGCAACGGAAUCUUAUAUAAAAGAAACCAUCGAUCCCUUUGCAGGGUGAAAUCCUAAAUACAGUAAAUAAGUGUAAAAAAUCAUCCAAAAUUAAAAACUCCAAAUAUAAACUAAGCAUACCUUUUAAAACCAAAUGGAAUAGUUACCUUUCUAAAUCGACUAAUUUUGUUUAAUUAUGUAUAAGCGUUAUUAUCAUCAAUAAUUGUAAAGGUUUAGUUUAUAUGUAACUUUAAUAUGAUAAUUAAAUGUUGUGAUAGUUAAAACAU